RNAcentral lists this ribosomal RNA (799 nucleotides) under Flavobacterium sp. KBS0721. RNAcentral's name for it is "bacterial SSU rRNA". It matches the Rfam family "Bacterial small subunit ribosomal RNA", at positions 60 to 865 of the family's 1533-position model. The record is from RNAcentral. Lineage: Bacteria; Pseudomonadati; Bacteroidota; Flavobacteriia; Flavobacteriales; Flavobacteriaceae.
AGUCGAGGGGUAUAGUUCUUCGGAACUAGAGACCGGCGCACGGGUGCGUAACGCGUAUGCAAUCUACCUUUUACAGAGGGAUAGCCCAGAGAAAUUUGGAUUAAUACCUCAUAGUAUAUAGCCCUGGCAUCAGGAUUAUAUUAAAGUCACAACGGUAAAAGAUGAGCAUGCGUCCCAUUAGCUAGUUGGUAAGGUAACGGCUUACCAAGGCUACGAUGGGUAGGGGUCCUGAGAGGGAGAUCCCCCACACUGGUACUGAGACACGGACCAGACUCCUACGGGAGGCAGCAGUGAGGAAUAUUGGACAAUGGGCGCAAGCCUGAUCCAGCCAUGCCGCGUGCAGGAUGACGGUCCUAUGGAUUGUAAACUGCUUUUAUACGAGAAGAAACAUUCCUACGUGAAGGAACUUGACGGUAUCGUAAGAAUAAGGAUCGGCUAACUCCGUGCCAGCAGCCGCGGUAAUACGGAGGAUCCAAGCGUUAUCCGGAAUCAUUGGGUUUAAAGGGUCCGUAGGCGGUUUAAUAAGUCAGUGGUGAAAGCCCAUCGCUCAACGGUGGAACGGCCAUUGAUACUGUUAGACUUGAAUUAUUAGGAAGUAACUAGAAUAUGUAGUGUAGCGGUGAAAUGCUUAGAGAUUACAUGGAAUACCAAUUGCGAAGGCAGGUUACUACUAAUUGAUUGACGCUGAUGGACGAAAGCGUGGGUAGCGAACAGGAUUAGAUACCCUGGUAGUCCACGCCGUAAACGAUGGAUACUAGCUGUUGGAAGCAAUUUCAGUGGCUAAGCGAAAGUGAUAAGU